UUAAACUGAGCACAUGUAUCAGCUUCUCUGUCUCUUGAUUGACAAAUGACAUGCCUGAGGAGAGACACGGGUCUGAAAAACUGGUUUCCAUUGUUUACAGAUACACCGGGUUGUCCUCGAAAGGAACAUAGAUCUUAUCGCCCAGGUAUAAUUUGCUCAGUGCUGUCUCCUUGAAAGGUGAUGAAAUUCACAGUUUGGCCUUGGUGUCUUUGACUUGUCAGGCAAAACUGGAGUUUCACAUCCGUGUGAACAUCUGCUUCAUUGAGGCUCAGCGAGGUUGUGCAUUUUUAAGUGAGCUGACCACUGUCAGUGAUAGCACAGCUGGCAUCCUUUUUGGGACUUAAAAGAUUAAAACACUGACGAUGAAAUCGGCUUCAGGAGUGUUGAAAGCUAAGUGAGCUCUUUGACCUUUCAACUUUAUUUACUAUAAUUCAAUUUUACUAAUAGCAACUACGUAAAUAUCACAAAAUAAUAAAUACAACAGAAAGAAAGACUUAAGCCAAUGAGGGUCAUCGCUAAAUAAUGUAAAUAGUUGAAACAAUAAUUUUUACAGCACAAUUGUGCAAAUUUGGGUGUGUACUGUACCUUUAUGACGGUGCCUAUGUGUCAUCCAAUCAGCGUGGUCCUAUUUUAUUGCCGGAAGUUAGCAGGUGAAAAUGAAGUCACGCCACGAAAUAUAAGCUUGUUUUUACAAAGAUUCGGUGAAACAAGCAAACAAGCUUGCAAGUCAAAUGACAGUGCAGGCAGGAUGGGGAUCAUCGGCAUCUGGAGAGAAAUGGCACAAAUUGUCGACAGUGGGCCCACCAUGCACGACGAGCGGACUCAUCCUACCCCCCUUAGAUGGCAAAAGCUGCAGAACCGCCGUACGGAAGAUACGCUUGAUCUCCUCCGACACUUUCCUCCAGGCCUUGUCGUUCUUGGUUUUGGCUGCACU
This is a long non-coding RNA of Hippocampus comes (tiger tail seahorse), 934 nucleotides long. RefSeq lists it as uncharacterized. The record is from RefSeq and is a predicted model, not a curated record. The transcript is spliced from 4 exons. Lineage: Eukaryota; Metazoa; Chordata; Actinopteri; Syngnathiformes; Syngnathidae.